Suricata suricatta (meerkat) is the source of this 569-nucleotide long non-coding RNA. RefSeq lists it as uncharacterized. Lineage: Eukaryota; Metazoa; Chordata; Mammalia; Carnivora; Herpestidae. The record is from RefSeq and is a predicted model, not a curated record. The transcript has 2 exons.
GCUGACCGCCGGGCAGUCACAGUCAACAAAGAGGGAGAGAAUUAGGGGCAGGGAACGUUCCCACUGAAGUCACAGAGGUCAUCUGGCUGCGGGGACAGGCAGUGGAGAGGACGUUCUUUCUGCUCCCAUUUCUCCCCACCUCCCCGGGGACCAGGCGUGGUACCAGCUGCUGCUCCCGCCACAACUGCUUGCAUUCCUGUGGCCUUUGACUGUUUUCAAUGCUUUUCCGUGCCUUCCCACACACGGUCCCCAACACUUAUAUGAGUAAGAUGCACAGGAAGAGACACUGCCUUUGUCUGAUGAACACAUGAAUGACGGCCCGAUGCAUCUUCGCUCCGGACCCACUCUGCCUGGAGAAGGGUAGAGGGGGUCGGAGGCCCCGCAGCGAGACUGGGGCAUUGACUGAGGAGGAUGUGAUACCUGGAGCUUUGGCAGCCACCUUGCGAUGAUGAGGUUGCAGAGCCAAGGAUGGACAGAGCCUGGGGAAGACAUCUUCAAGCAGAGAGUCAACCCUGGAGUCACCUAUCUUUAAGCUUCUGAUAAAUAAACAGUGCUUGUUGCGAUUUAAA